GUUCGAAGACCACGCGCAUCGGCUCCUGAAGCCCUCUGUACGCCUCUAGAUUCUCUCGCACGCGCUCUACCACCUCCUCCACGUCCUCCACCA
RNAcentral lists this non-coding RNA (93 nucleotides) under Chloropicon mariensis. Lineage: Eukaryota; Viridiplantae; Chlorophyta; Chloropicophyceae; Chloropicales; Chloropicaceae. The record is from RNAcentral.